UGGGGAAUUUUGGACAAUGGGCGCAAGCCUGAUCCAGCAAUGCCGCGUGCAGGAAGAAGGCCUUCGGGUUGUAAACUGCUUUUGUACGGAACGAAACGGUCUGGGCUAAUACCCUGGGCUAAUGACGGUACCGUAAGAAUAAGCACCGGCUAACUACGUGC
Molecule: ribosomal RNA, 161 nt
Filed under: uncultured bacterium
Lineage: Bacteria
Description: partial 16S ribosomal RNA
Rfam family: Bacterial small subunit ribosomal RNA
Source: RNAcentral